AAAAAAGGUAAGCUACUAAGAGCGAAUGGUGGAUGCCUUGACUGGUAAAGGCGAUGAAGGACGUACUAGACUGCGAUAAGCUACGGGGAGCUGUCAAGAAGCUUUGAUCCGUAGAUUUCCGAAUGGGGCAACCCAAUGUAUAGAGAUAUACAUUACCUAUAUAGGAGCGAACGAGGGGAAUUGAAACAUCUUAGUACCCUCAGGAAAAGAAAUCAAUAGAGAUUGCGUCAGUAGCGGCGAGCGAAAGCGCAAGAGGGCAAACCCAGUGCUUGCACUGGGGGUUGUAGGACUGCAAUGUGCAAGAGCUGAGUUUAGCAGAACAUUCUGGAAAGUAUAGCCAUAGAGGGUGAUAGUCCCGUAUGCGAAAAACAAAGCUUAGCUAGCAGUAUCCUGAGUAGGGCGGGACACGAGGAAUCCUGUCUGAAUCCGGGUCGACCACGAUCCAACCCUAAAUACUAAUACCAGAUCGAUAGUGCACAAGUACCGUGAGGGAAAGGUGAAAAGAACUGAGGUGAUCAGAGUGAAAUAGAACCUGAAACCAUUUGCUUACAAUCAUUCAGAGCACUAUGUAGCAAUACAGUGUGAUGGACUGCCUUUUGCAUAAUGAGCCUGCGAGUUGUGGUGUCUGGCAAGGUUAAGCAAACGCGAAGCCGUAGCGAAAGCGAGUCUGAAUAGGGCGCUUAGUCAGAUGCUGCAGACCCGAAACGAAGUGAUCUAUCCAUGAGCAAGUUGAAGCUAGUGUAAGAACUAGUGGAGGACUGAACCCAUAGGCGUUGAAAAGCCCCGGGAUGACUUGUGGAUAGGGGUGAAAGGCCAAUCAAACUUCGUGAUAGCUGGUUCUCUCCGAAAUAUAUUUAGGUAUAGCGUUGUGUCGUAAUAUAAGGGGGUAGAGCACUGAAUGGGCUAGGGCAUACACCAAUGUACCAAACCCUAUCAAACUCCGAAUACCUUAUAUGUAAUCACAGCAGUCAGGCGGCGAGUGAUAAAAUCCGUCGUCAAGAGGGAAACAACCCAGACUACCAGCUAAGGUCCCUAAAUCUUACUUAAGUGGAAAACGAUGUGAAGUUACUUAAACAACCAGGAGGUUGGCUUAGAAGCAGCCAUCCUUUAAAGAAAGCGUAAUAGCUCACUGGUCUAGUGAUUUUGCGCGGAAAAUAUAACGGGGCUAAAGUAAGUACCGAAGCUGUAGACUUGCGCACAACUUAGAUUAUUUAAGUUUAGAAUAUGAGAAACUAAGUUAUAUUUUUACUGAUUUUUAUAGAGUAAAGAUAGAAAUAAAACUUAGUAAAAUCAGUAAAAAUAUUCUUAGGCUAAAGUUAAGUAGUUUAAGUUGUGUGCAAGUGGUAGGAGAGCGUUCUAUUUGCGUCGAAGGUAUACCGGUAAGGAGUGCUGGAGCGAAUAGAAGUGAGCAUGCAGGCAUGAGUAGCGAUAAUUAAUGUGAGAAUCAUUAACGCCGUAAACCCAAGGUUUCCUACGCGAUGCUCGUCAUCGUAGGGUUAGUCGGGUCCUAAGUCGAGUCCGAAAGGGGUAGACGAUGGCAAAUUGGUUAAUAUUCCAAUACCAACAUUAGUGUGCGAUGGAAGGACGCUUAGGGCUAAGGGGGCUAGCGGAUGGAAGUGCUAGUCUAAGGUCGUAGGAGGUUAUACAGGCAAAUCCGUAUAACAAUACU
RNAcentral lists this ribosomal RNA (1669 nucleotides) under Campylobacter jejuni. RNAcentral describes it as "partial 23S ribosomal RNA". It matches the Rfam family "Bacterial large subunit ribosomal RNA", at positions 1 to 1555 of the family's 2925-position model. The record is from RNAcentral. Lineage: Bacteria; Pseudomonadati; Campylobacterota; Epsilonproteobacteria; Campylobacterales; Campylobacteraceae.